This is an RNA transcript of Maniola jurtina (meadow brown), 1999 nucleotides long. RefSeq lists it as uncharacterized. Lineage: Eukaryota; Metazoa; Arthropoda; Insecta; Lepidoptera; Nymphalidae. The transcript has 2 exons. The record is from RefSeq and is a predicted model, not a curated record.
CUCAGAAUCAACCCAUCGUGGUACUAAACGAGCAAUCCCGAUAAUUGAUAACGAUCAAGUUCCAUCGUCCACUAAAAAAACUGUAAUAGGGCCAAGCUCGACAGCCCCUUCAAUGCAAUCCGUUUACCUCCAUCCUUCACUCUCAGACUCCCCAAAAAAAUAUACAAAAGAUGAUAAAGGUCCUUUCGUAGUGUACGUAUCCCGUGAAGUGUCCGACCCUUCAGCCGGCGCUUCUAUGAGAGCGAUCAAAUUCGGCCAGUUCCUUCACAAAAACAAAAUAAGGUCAGUUCUUAACGACGGCGUGAAGAAUGUUGGUAGAAACAAAGUUUCAGUUGAAUUUGCAAAUGGUCAAGCGGCUAAUGAAUUCUUAGAAAACCCUAUACUUACCAUAUCCAAGCACAUUGCAUAUAUACCCACAUUUAACAUCACUCGCAUGGGAUUAGUCCGAGGUGUACCUGUAGACUGGCAUCUGGACGAGUUUAUUGACUCUGUGGAGCUCCCUGUAGGCUGCGGGGAGAUCCUUAAAGCCCGACGCUUAAAUCGCAAGAACAUAAUAGACAAUGUUAUGACCUGGGUUCCAACCCAAUCCAUUGUUUUAACAUUUAGAGGACAAACUCUCCCUCCUAGAAUUUUCUCCUAUCAUACAUCUCUUCCCGUGGAAACCUACCGUCUCCCCACCAUCCAAUGUAUAAAUUGCUGCCGGUUUGGUCACAUAAAAACUCAAUGCAGAUCAAAACCUCGUUGCUUUAAAUGCUCCCAGCCUCAUUCAGGUGAAACUUGUGAAGUACUUAUUGAGAAUGCAACUUGCUUACUCUGCGGUGGUAAACACAUGGCUACAAAUAAGAGCUGCCCUGAACACUCUCGGCAGCAAUCUAUAAAACUUGUCAUGUCCGAUGAAAAUUUGUCCUAUCAAGAUGCCUCCUCCCGCUUCCCUCCCGUUCGCCGCUCAUAUGCCGAUAUGGCUAAAGAAAUGUUUACCGCUCCUGCAUACUCUCCCAUUUUUAAUCCUGUCAGACCUCGUCCUACACAAGCCCCGUCCAAAUCUUACAAACAAACUGUCACCCGCUCCCCUCGCCCCAGACCCCAACCUGCAAAGGGGUACGAUAGGCAAGCCCAUCAGGACAUCAUCCACAACUUUCCUUCUUCCACACCUAAUGGUUGCGCUCUGAAUGCAGAACGUGAUCACUCUUAUGCUCAACCACCCAAUGAUAAUAAUAUAUCUCUCACCAAAUCCCUCACCAAUAUUCUUGAUAAGAUAAACCAAAACCCUCCACCGUCCAACGUUGCUGAAAUUAUCAUCAAAAUCGCUUCUGUAUUAAAUAAUGGCCUCCCUGGAGAUACUCCAAUGGAAUAGCCAAAGUAUACGACGGAAAAAACAUGAACUCGUUCAUCUCCUUAAUAAACAUAAGCCCGCUGUCGCUGCCAUCUCUGAGACAUGGCUCCUGCCGGACUCUCGUUUCAGGGUGUCAGGCUUUGCCUGCCUGAGGGAUGACAGGGAUGACGGAUAUGCAGGUAGUGCUAUUCUUGUUAGGCGCUCCCUUGCAUACACUUCUAUUUCCCUCCCGCCUCACUCUCAUCAGCUCAAUGCUGUUGCUGUGAGAGCCCUUGAUGUCUCCUUUCUUUCACUCUAUAUUCCACAUCCUCAUUCCUCUCUUAUCCCUGAAUUAAAAUCUAUUCUCUCCUCUCUUCCCCCCCCGGUACUAGUGAUGGGUGAUUUUAACUCCCAUCACACGUCCUGGGGUUCCCAUUCCUGUGACGGAUUUUCCACUCUCUUGCUGGAUGUUUUUGAUGAAUUAAAUAUUUGCAUUCUUAACGAUGGCUCUCCAACAAGAAGAGUGUAUCCUUAUCAAAAUCCUAAAACUGCUGUCGAUCUAUCUCUUUGCUCUCCCUCUUUGGCUUCUCUUACCUCCUGGAAAACCCUCCCAAGUACCCACGGUAGUGACCACUUCCCUAUUUUACUCAACAUAGCACAAAAAUCCAUUCCACAUGUAUAUUAUAA